RNAcentral lists this ribosomal RNA (519 nucleotides) under Bacillus pumilus. RNAcentral's name for it is "bacterial SSU rRNA". It matches the Rfam family "Bacterial small subunit ribosomal RNA", at positions 555 to 1073 of the family's 1533-position model. Lineage: Bacteria; Bacillati; Bacillota; Bacilli; Caryophanales; Bacillaceae. The record is from RNAcentral.
UGGGCGUAAGGGCUCGCAGGCGGUUUCUUAAGUCUGAUGUGAAAGCCCCCGGCUCAACCGGGGAGGGUCAUUGGAAACUGGGAAACUUGAGUGCAGAAGAGGAGAGUGGAAUUCCACGUGUAGCGGUGAAAUGCGUAGAGAUGUGGAGGAACACCAGUGGCGAAGGCGACUCUCUGGUCUGUAACUGACGCUGAGGAGCGAAAGCGUGGGGAGCGAACAGGAUUAGAUACCCUGGUAGUCCACGCCGUAAACGAUGAGUGCUAAGUGUUAGGGGGUUUCCGCCCCUUAGUGCUGCAGCUAACGCAUUAAGCACUCCGCCUGGGGAGUACGGUCGCAAGACUGAAACUCAAAGGAAUUGACGGGGGCCCGCACAAGCGGUGGAGCAUGUGGUUUAAUUCGAAGCAACGCGAAGAACCUUACCAGGUCUUGACAUCCUCUGACAACCCUAGAGAUAGGGCUUUCCCUUCGGGGACAGAGUGACAGGUGGUGCAUGGUUGUCGUCAGCUCGUGUCGUGAGAU